GACGAACGCUGGCGGCGUGCUUAACACAUGCAAGUCGAACGGAAAGGCCCUGCUUUUGUGGGGUGCUCGAGUGGCGAACGGGUGAGUAACACGUGAGUAACCUGCCCUUGACUUUGGGAUAACUUCAGGAAACUGGGGCUAAUAUCGGAUAGAAGCUCCUGCUGCAUGGUGGGGGUUGGAAAGUGUCGGCGGUGGGGGAUGGACUCGCGGCUUAUCAGCUGGUUGGUGUGGUAGUUGCUUACCAAGGCUUUGACGGGUAGCCGGCCUGAGAGGGUUACCGGCGACAUUGGGACUGAGAUACGGCGCAGACUCGUACGGGAGGCAGUAGUGGGAAAUAUUGCACAAUGGGCGGAAGCCUGAUGUAGCAGCGCCGCGUGCGGGAUGACGGGUUUCGGGUUAUAAACCGCUUUGGCAUGUGACGAAGAGUGAGUGACGGUAAUGGGUAAAGAAGCACCGGCUAACUACGUG
RNAcentral lists this ribosomal RNA (468 nucleotides) under uncultured bacterium. RNAcentral's name for it is "partial 16S ribosomal RNA". It matches the Rfam family "Bacterial small subunit ribosomal RNA", at positions 28 to 507 of the family's 1533-position model. The record is from RNAcentral.